RNAcentral lists this ribosomal RNA (253 nucleotides) under uncultured bacterium. RNAcentral describes it as "partial 16S ribosomal RNA". It matches the Rfam family "Bacterial small subunit ribosomal RNA", at positions 524 to 776 of the family's 1533-position model. The record is from RNAcentral.
UACAGAGGUCUCAAGCGUUGUUCGGAUUCAUUGGGCGUAAAGGGCGCGUAGGCUGCGGGGCAAGUCGGGUGUGAAAUCUCAGAGCUCAACUCUGAAACUGCACUCGAUACUGCUUUGCUCGAGGACUGGAGAGGAGAUUGGAAUUCACGGUGUAGCAGUGAAAUGCGUAGAUAUCGUGAGGAAGACCAGUGGCGAAGGCGGGUCUCUGGACAGUUCCUGACACUGAGACACGAAGGCCAGGGGAGCAAACGGG